ACUCUCCUUUGGUUUAUAAGCAUAAUGACUUGGGUGUUCAUGGCAUUGUGUGAGAUAUGCUUCCUUUUAAACUUGUUAGGAUGUUGAUAUAAAAAUAAUUCUCUUCUGAGC
This is a small nucleolar RNA of Heterocephalus glaber (naked mole-rat), 111 nucleotides long. The record is from Ensembl. NCBI's taxonomy places the organism in Eukaryota, Metazoa, Chordata, Mammalia, Rodentia, Bathyergidae.